GGGCUUAUAGCUCAGUGGUAGAGUGUGUGCUUAGAAUGCACGAAGCCUUGGGUUCAGUCCCCAGUACCUCCA
This 72-nucleotide transfer RNA is filed under the name Camelus bactrianus (Bactrian camel). It matches the Rfam family "tRNA". Rfam says of the family: Transfer RNA (tRNA) molecules are approximately 80 nucleotides in length. Their secondary structure includes four short double-helical elements and three loops (D, anti-codon, and T loops). RNAcentral also lists the same sequence under 1 other name. Lineage: Eukaryota; Metazoa; Chordata; Mammalia; Artiodactyla; Camelidae. The record is from Rfam by way of RNAcentral.